Molecule: ribosomal RNA, 406 nt
Filed under: uncultured bacterium
Lineage: Bacteria
Description: partial 16S ribosomal RNA
Rfam family: Bacterial small subunit ribosomal RNA
Source: RNAcentral
AUUGAACGCUGGCGGCAGGCCUAACACAUGCAAGUCGAGCGAGCGGCGGACGGGUGAGUAAUGUCUGGGAAACUGCCUGAUGGAGGGGGAUAACUACUGGAAACGGUAGCUAAUACCGCAUACCAUCAGAUGUGCCCAGAUGGGAUUAGCUAGUAGGUGGGGUAACGGCCCACCUAGGCGACGAUCCCUAGCUGGUCUGAGAGGAUGACCAGCCAAACUGGAACUGAGACACGAUCCAGACUCCUAAGGAAGGCAGCAGUGGGGAAUAUUGCACAAGGGGCGAAAGCCUGAUGCAGCCAUGCCGCGUGUGUGAAGAAGGCCUUCGGGUUGUAAAGCACUUUCAGCGGGGAGGCGUUACCCGCAGAAGAAGCACCGACUAACACCGUGCCAGCAGCCGCGGUAAUUC